Long non-coding RNA from Oncorhynchus tshawytscha (Chinook salmon), 1351 nucleotides. The record is from Ensembl. Lineage: Eukaryota; Metazoa; Chordata; Actinopteri; Salmoniformes; Salmonidae.
AGGAUGUGUUAUUUUAGUGUUCCCUUUAUUUUUUUGAGCAGUGUAUAUUUUUUAUUCACAUUUUUCAAGGGGUGCUGUAGCACCCUCAGCACCCCUACUUCCCACUGCUAUGGGUAGGGGUUAAGGUUAGGGUAGGGACAUCCCAAGGAGGCAGGAUUGCACUGACCAUACAUUUGUCUUUCCAACUAUUCAGCCAAGUUUAUCACACAUGCUGCUACAUCAGCCUGGCCUUUCCUGCCUUUAGGUUUCCGUGUUUACUUUUAUCAUUGGAUCACAUUUUGUCAUUCUCUGACUACUUACUGGCUGCAGAGAAAAUCGAUCAAAACAAAAGCAAGCUAACCUAAAUAUGGCACCAAAUAAUCAGACAAUUAGAAACUACUCAGGUCCUAGAGGUAUUUAAAAAGGUACUUUCAACGUGAGUGAAUUUGCUAUGAUAUUACUUGCCACUGUUUUUGCUGUUUCCGAAAACUAGCUAACCAUGUCUGAUCUGAACAAUCACCCAAGACUAUAGUACGAGCCUAUUAACUAAUUCACCUAUUUCAUGAUUAAUAUGCCACUGCAGUGGAGCGAUGAUCAACUGCAUGUGUUUUAUGAAAAUGAAGUGAAAACGAAUGUGGACCUCUCCAUUUCUACAAAACGGCUUUAAGGUGGUAAGGAGGUCCAGAACAGACAUAUUUCAACACCCAGACUUCUGUAGUCACAGAGAUGAGAGAAGUUGACAAGGAAUUGUCCAGCUGCGCGUGGAAGGUCCCUUGUGAAGAGAGAAACAGCUGAGAGCACAAAGCCCCCUGGACAUGCGAUGACAACAAUUGAAAAGGACAGCAACAGACCUAUGCAACUACAUCAACUUCAGCAUUCCAGAGCCAGAAAUUCAGCCUCAAGUUUCCCUCCCUCCCUCCUCGGAAUCAUUUAGCUACCUGUGAAACUCAAGACUGCAUGAAAGUGUUUGAUAAGAACACCACAAUGGUAGCCUCUGCCAUGUCCCAAACAACCGGAUGUUCCAGUUUCUUUUAUGCCUGCUACGUUAUGUUACCACAACGGAAAUCCAGAAGCACAUUCUAACAGAGUUGAGAAUUAGUCUAACAAGACAAUUUGGUGUAAGGCUCAUUUAGUUGUGCAAUAUUCUAGCCCUGGAUUCACUAGUAGAGCCGAUAUACAAUGCAACUCUUAUUUGAUGAGACAGCAGCCUAACAAUUUACUGAUUAUUUCAGGAUCAAGAUGAUGUGUCGAAGGAAGCUCUCUAAAGGACAAGAUCCUUUAAUCUCUGCAAUAUUAACAUGCUGCGUCCUCUCUCCACACAUCCCACCCCCCAAGUCACUUCUGACUAACCCCUCAACUUCUUGAAUUACUG